UUCAAACUGGACACUAAAUCAAUAUGAGUAUGCGUAUUUAAGCAUUCUAGAAAAGAUUUUAAUCUCAAUUAAUGUACUAGCUAGAAAAUGUUUGAUGCCCUCUGAAGGAGCCUCCUAAAGUUGAUUAAUAAUCAUACUCUUUGUUGUGUUCUUCGCUAAGAAACCUGCGCAAGAGUUGGACUCCCUGCAACAGAAACAAUCUCCGGCAACAGAAACAAUCUCCUCCGUCGUGAAUCCCAGCAGCUUCAGCCUCUACGCCGUGACCAACAGCUUCCCAACACCCUUGUAACUUCAUCCUCUCACCGGCAACAGAAACAAUCUCGCCAACGCCAACCUCUUCUUCCAGCAGCACCAGCCUCUUCAGACCAGCCCCGACAGCCGCCAGCUUCACCACUAACAGCUCCACCGUAAGCCGCCAGCAGGAUCGCCAGGCAGCAACACCCCAUCAAGCCCAGGUAAGCUUUUUCGUCCCUUCCCUCCUGCAUUUUUUUGCUUUCCUAUUACACAUGAAUUAAUUCAUGUUCUGCAGAAGAAAAACAAGACGGACUAGACCCGUUUCAGUCAAGUAAGUAAAGAUGGUUGGGCUGUCAGUCGGCCCAACCCAAUCCGACCGGGCUGGGCUUGGACUUCGAGUCUAAACAGCCCAAUUUAAAAAAAAUUAAGGAAAAGUUUUAAAUUUUCCAAAAACCACUUUAAAAUUAUUUGUGGAUCAAUCAAAUAUUUUUCCAAUAAUUUUUUUUAAUAUCAAGUCAUAGAUUUACACUGUAAGAUACGGACUCGUAUAAAAAAUAUAUAAUUUUCCUCCAAUAAAUAAAUAAACUUCAUUUUCAAAAACAAAAAAAAGUGUUGUUUUUGUGAAUACGACCAAAUCCUAAAAGUUUUUCAUGCAUAUUUUCUAAAAAAGAAGAAGAUAAAAUUACAUUUUUAUCAUGUUUUAAGAAAUGCAAAAAUGGAUAUCGUAAUCAAUUUAUAAUUAUCCAUUAGGGUUUGACUAAAAUACCAAAAAUCUCAUAAUUAUUAGUUUGUUAUUCGGAAUAUUAGGAAAUAGUUAUAUCUAGGGGUGUUCAUGGUCCGGUUCGGUCCGGUUUUAACAUAAAAAACCAACCGAACCGAAAAAUACUAUUCCUUGUUAAUAUAACCCGAACCGAACCGAGAACCGGUUCAAACCGAACCGGUUUUGUUUGGUUCGGGUCGGUUUUUUAGCCUUAGAAACCAGAAAAACCGAAACAAAUUAAAUAAGAGAAAACUUGGCCGAAUCACAAUCACUGGACAAACUUGGCCGAAUCACAUUCAAAAAAAUCGUUGUUGAAAACUUUGAAUCCAAGCCCUUCUGUUGAGAUUUGAAAGAUCUCCAUUAGCUGAAUUACAAUCACUAGAUCUAUCCAAGCAAGCACAACUACAUGUUAACAAAGAUUCCAAUAGCAUCCCGCAAAGGCGCAAACUACCGGGACCUCGCUAGCACAACUGCAUGUUAAUAAAACCAGAAACAAGGAUUUUAUCCAAGUUUUCUGCCAUAAAGUAAAGCAAAGAGUAGAAAAGCAACAAUAUGAGAGAAAAUGAGUUGCUUUAAGUAUUCCUUGUGCACAGAGGAGAGAGAGAGAGAGAGGGGUGGAGUGAUUGGAAAAGGGAGAAAGGGGAAGGGGAAGGGGGGGAGGGAGAGAUAGGUGGGGUGGCUGAAAUGGAAAGGGGGAAAAGGGAAAGGGGAGAGAGCGGGGAGGGAGGGAUAGAUGGGGUGGCUGGAAUGGAAAGUGAGAAAAGGGAAAGGGAAAGGGAAGGGGGCGGUUGGAAAUGUAGGGUUAUGUUAGGGUAUUUAUUAUUUAGGUUUAGUUUUCUUUUAUACUUUUUUUUAGAUUCAAUUAAACCGGUUCAGUUUGGUCCGGUUCAAUCGGUUUAAACCUUUUUAAACCGGAACCGAACCGGACCGGGUGGUUUUUUUUAUUUUUUAAUCGGUUUAUUCGGUUUUUUCUAUCGGUUCGGUUUUUUCGGUUAAUUUUUUCUCGGUUUUUUCGGUUUAAUCGGUUGGUCGGUUUUUUUGAACACCCCUAGUUAUAUCUAAGAAAUAAAUGCAUUGCUAAAUCUGGACUUUAUAUGUGAAGAGAGAUCUGCCUUGAACCUUAAACAAAACCAACGCAUAGAAACAUGACGUAGAAAAACAAUCGACAAGCAAUGCAGCUUAUCUUAGGUAGGGUGUACUGGGGUGAUGUGUAUUUUCCAUGCACAACUAGUCUUCUUACCCAAACUCUCGUAGACCAAUAAGUUUCUUGGGCUAUGUUUGUUUCCUGGAAAGUGGUUUCCGGAAAACCACUUUCCAAACUUUCCUGUGUUUGUUUGCCAUUAGGAAAGUUGGUCAACGAAAAACACUUUCCAGUUAAAGGAAAAUUUGGUUUGGUUUCCAGAAAAGUGUUUUCCUAGAAAAUUUGGGCGGAAAACACUUUCCAGAAGUUGUGAAAAAUUUAUAAAUGUCAUAUUAUUUACUGAUUAUAUCAAAUUUGGUCCUCAAACUUUUGAUUGGUGUAUAUAUAUAUAUAUAUAUAUUGUUUUGAAUAUUUAUUUUUCAAUUUCAUUUCUUAAAAUUUAAUUUUUAUAUUAACUUUGGUUCUCAUUUUUAUAAUUGUUAUUUGUUUUUUCCUUAUCAUUUUUUUAUUAAACUUUUUUAUCUAUCAAAUUUGAUCCUCAUUUUUUUUAUUGUUACUUAUUUUAUUUGAAAUAAUUUAUGAAAUGUUAAUUAUUAUUAUUUUAAUUUCUUCAUCUUUCAUUUUUUUUUAUUUUUUAGAUUUGAUCUCUAUUAUUUUGAUUAUUAUCUAUUUUAUUUGAGAUAAUUUAUGAAAUUAUAUUUUUUUUCAAGUUCAUUCUCAUUCAACUUUUUAAUUUGUAAGAUUUGUUCCUCAUUAUUUUAAUAAAAUUUAGAAAAAUAAAACAUUAAUAAGUUAUUUUCCAGGUCAUUUUCCAUGACAUAACCAAACACUGGAAAGUGUUUUUCAACUUAUUUUCCAUUACACUACCAAACAUCAAAAAAUAAUUCACUUUCCCAGAAUUCACUUUCUAAAAGGAAACUACUUUCCAGCAAAAAAACAGAGCCUUUGUAAUCAUAAUACCAGGUGGCGACUCCUGAACUCCAUAAUCAUAACUUUAUGAUUAAACCCAAAACUCCCUUUAACUUCCAGGAGGCAACUUCGCCAUGCAAUGUUGUGCACGUCACGACAAGUCCGCACAUGUUGGUGACUCCUCCCAACUAGGGUUCUUAUAUGAUGUGCAUAAAAACUAACACUACCCUGUUAACAUAGGUAUUCUGACUAGCAUACCAUAUGUUCAUCAAACAAACAGAAUCAUAUAUCAAGGCUCAACUCAUAUAAUCAAUCAAAUGAGAAGCUAUCAAUUUAAAAAUCAAUUCAUAAGUACAUAUUUGCUCAUAUCAAGAAUUCAGUAUCAAGAAUUCAGUCUCAACAAUUGAUCAUGUUUUAUCAUAGAUAAGAAAUAAUAAGCGAUAUGUUAAUUACCAAGAUACAUGAUCAAUUUCAUACUAACAAUUCAAGUAUUUAUACUGCUACUCUAGCAUAUGGAAUAUUAUUCACUUACUUGACUCAAAAGCAUAACAAGCAUAUAAACAAAUAUCCAAGGAAAUCUUGUUGAUGCCCAGUAGGUAGAGUGUCAAGAGUAUAUGAAUACAAAAGAAGACAUACUAAAAAACAAUUAGAAAAGAAUGUACAAUCUAUUUACUAUAUUUAACUUAGGUUCUAACCCAUAACCCUAUACAUUUAGGAAUAAAACAUAAUUAUAAACUGAAAUCGGUCAACCCAAUCGAUCCCAAACAUAACCUAAAUUGACCGAAAUUAAAAGAAUUAUCUAACUUUACUGUCAGGUCAAUCGAUCUACCGGUUCAACCUAACUAGUCAACCAAAACCAUCUAGGACAAACCGGUCGGCCAAAAUCUAUCAAUUGGUUGACCGUAAUACAACACACCAACUGAUCUACAGGUUCUACCCAACCAGUGGACCAAAAUCUAGCAGCCUAAACAAUCGACCGAUUCAGACAAAUCGAUCGACCAGUUCAUUGGAAUUCCAGAUUCCCGAUCACCAAUCUUAACAAUGGUAGAUCCUAAUUUCAAUAAAAAUCUAAAAAAAUCCAUAACCAUACAUUAAACCCAUAUGAAAUAACCUAUAACACUUAAAUCAACCCAUCACAUUAUAAUCAAUCCAUCAACUUAUACCCAAUUCAUCAAUAAAUCUCUAAAAUACAAUUCAAAUCCUAAACUUUAACAAAACCCAAAACCGAAACCAAUAACAUCAAUUAUACACAUUAAAUCAUAAAUCUCACCUCAAAAAAUAAGUUUCCAAAUCCUUCUCUCUUUUCUCCUUUUCUUCUUCUGCCUUUCUUUCUCCACUCCUAGUUCUCUCUCUAAAUUUUUAGAUUUUUCUUCUUUUUAUUUUUUUAGUUUUAAGUCUCCAAGGGCACUGUUGCUUUUUCUUAUUAAUUCUUUCGCUUUUUAUUUUUCAAAACAUCACACCUUCACAUGGACAUCAUAAACCAAAAACUUUAUAUCUAUAUCUUUCACUUCUUCAGCAUCAUUUUCAUCAUCCUCAUUGAGUUUUAAUGGUUGAUUCCAAUCCAUAAAGGAAUUAGAAUUAUCAAAACUUUUAGUUUUAACAUCAUUUUUAUCCUAAUCAGGAAUUGCUUCCUCUGUUUAUGUCUUUUAUACAGGUUUUCAAAAUUAAUCAUGGAUCUGUGAUUACUCUUCUCACGAUCUUCUAGGCUUUUCACUGAUGUCAAUCGACGAGUAAAUUUUAUAAUUUGUCUCUGCAUGUCUUUAAUCACCAGUUUCUGGACCCUUCUUUUCAAUUUUAUAAUUUAUUUCUACAUGUCUUCUAUCUUCAAUUCCUGAACAUCUUCUUAUCGAGAGGAACCUCCCCAUCCCUUUCUAUAUGAGCACACCAUUUUUUUCUAUUUCUUCUAGCCAUGAUUAUUCCAGCACAUAACAAGUAAAUAUCCACUAGGAUCGUUGAGCUAUGAUACCAACUAACAUAGACAAAAACACAAAUAAGAAGACAACAAGCUAGAAAGAUAAAAUUAAAGCAUAAUAGGGUUGUCACACAUAACUCUAAUUCAUAAUUUUAUUUCUGAGAAUAAAAGUUUGAUAUAUUCUACUAAAAUACAAGCAAAACAAUACUAUUUAUACUAGUCUUAAGUCUAGCUUGAAGAGUUAAAGAAUCCUAAUCAAUAACUACUGAGUUAGUUUAGGGAUUCCUAAACUAUAAAGUAAAAAAUAAAAUUAUCAUUAUCAAAAUUUGAUUUCCUAAACUAAAUAAAAAAAUUAAAACAUCAUAAAGUAAAAUAUUUUCUUAGAUUAAUAGAAAAUAAUUAACAAAAAACUAAAGGAGAAAGGGAUUUUAAUGUACUCAUCCUUACAAAACACUAUUCAUUUCAAUAGUUUUUUUUUUGCCUUUAGUUUUUUUAUUUUUUUAAAUCUAUGUUUCUUUCUCUAAUUUCAUACUUGAACAUUUGGUUUAUUGGAGAUUAGACUUUAAAAUUUAUUGUGGUUUGCGUUAAACAUUAACUUGGUCGGGUUAACUCAAUUGACUCGAGUUUUUUUUGUCUCUUUUUAAUUGUUAUUUUUUUUUAAUUUCAUUCUUUAACAUAAGGUUGAUUAAGAAUUAUGUUUCAUAAUUUAUUUUGAUUUAUUUUCCAUGAGGUUAUCUCGAUUUCAUGACUCAGGUCACGAGAAUGACGAUUAACUCGAGUUUUUUUUUAAUUGGUAUUUUUUCAAUUUCAUCCUUCAACAUUUGGUUGAUUAGGAAUUAAGUUUCAUGAUUUAUUUUGAUUUGCUUUCUAUAAGGUUAUCCUGGUCUUAUAAUUUGGAUCACGUGUUUCGUGGGUUAGCCUGGGUAGAUUCAUGUUAUUUUAUUGUCCUAUUUUUAAAUUGAAAUUUUUUCAAUUUUAUCAUUCAACAAUGAGUUUAUUGAAAACUGGGCUUCAUAAUUUGUUAAUCACGAGUUUGGCAGGUUGACUCGGGUCAUUUUUUAUGUUUACUUUCUAUGAAGUUAUCUCUAUCUCAUGACUCAGGUCAAGAGUUUAGUAGAUUAACUCAUGUCGAUUCUUGAAUUUUUGUGAGUGAAACUAUGUUUUUACUGAUUAUCCGGAUUGUUUUUGGACCCAUCAAGUCAAUCAGGUUAUAUCUAGUUAAGUUCCAUAUGAUUUAAAUAUUGUUUUUUACUAGAAAAAUAUUACCAGGCACAUUGUUUUUUCAUAUUAAAAAAUUGUGAUUCGACAAGCAGCCAACAAACUAAUAAUAACUAAAAAAUAAUAUUUUUCAAAAAAUCUUCCUGCAUCGAAUUUGUUUUUGCUUAUAUGACGAGUCUCAACGUGAAAUCUAACGAACUGCAUACUGUACCAAGCAGUGAGAACUAGAACUUGUCCUUGCCGGUUAAAACUCAUUUCUUGCUUGAUCUAGCGUGAAGAGGGGUCAUCACCCACAUCCGAAGUUGUCUACCCAUCACUGCUACUUGAAUGCCAGUAACUCUAAUCCAGUGUCAUGUCCAUUGCAGAAAUUUAAUGUAAUUGCAGAAUUGAAAUUUAAAGGUCAUUUUUUUUUAUUAACCAAUUCAUUUUUCAUUACAUAAAUAUCAUUCUACGGCUAGAAAACUAAACUCAUUAAUUAUCACAUAAUAUCUUUUUGAUUCCUCACGAAUUGAGGGUUUGAAAUGAAAGGCUCUUCUUGCCAUCUUGUAUUUAGAAUACUCAGCUUAUAAUUUAUAGUAUUCAUUGGCAUGAGUCCGAGAAAUUAAUGGUGAAGUCAGGAAG
This 6795-nucleotide long non-coding RNA is filed under the name Populus trichocarpa (black cottonwood). Its description in RNAcentral is "long non-coding RNA (PTRI_LNC001954)". The record is from RNAcentral. Lineage: Eukaryota; Viridiplantae; Streptophyta; Magnoliopsida; Malpighiales; Salicaceae.